This 1585-nucleotide long non-coding RNA is filed under the name Homo sapiens (human). Its description in RNAcentral is "non-protein coding LINC02226:13". Lineage: Eukaryota; Metazoa; Chordata; Mammalia; Primates; Hominidae. The record is from RNAcentral.
UCUAAAGACACAUGCACACAUAUGUUUAUUGCAGAACUAUUGACAAUAGCAAAGACGUGGAACCAACCCAAACGCCAAUCACUAAUAGACUGGAUAAAGAAAAUGUGGCACUUGUCUGAUUUCUCCACCAAGAUCUGUGCAGUGAAGUCUAAAACCCUCUUUCCACACGGUGGUCUUGUUGGUAUGAUUGAGGUGACUCAACUUUCUCCCCUGCAGCUGGUUAGGGCGUGUCCCCUGGUAAGAGCAGCAGCAUGAGAGAGCACGUAAAAACAAGCACUUUUCCAAGACUUAUGUCAAGUCUGCUGUCAUCCUGUUGGCCAAAGCAAAUUCCACUGUCAAAGUCAGAGUAGUCUCAUAGAUCAUAAACAAAUCCGCACCCAUGAAAAGAUUUAGAGAGUCACACAGGAAAGUCAACAGAAGCCAGAGAGAUGAGGGUCCUGGACUGCAUGUCAUUAGUGUGGAUCCUCCCUUUCUUCCUUCUAGGCUACAUCCUGGUGGGAGGCAGGACACUGAAGUACUUAGAACCCCUCAGAAUGGCCAGAUCCUGCUCAUGCUUGGGCUAGAAGAAUGGAACCUUUGUAAUUCUGGACUUGUAAAUGGAAACACAUCACUUACGUUUGAUAUUUUCGUAGCAACAGCAGUUAAAUAGGAACAUGACCCAAGUUAUGCUCUCAAUUUUCACUAAAUGAAUAAAUGAACUAAUUAGUAUUUGUGUCCAAGGGCAAUUGGUUGGCAGUUCUGAGUCAGAAAUAAACAGAAGGACAGGGUCGUCUGAGUGGUCCACCUGCAGACCUAAAGAGCUCAUGGGUCCCACCUUGUCAUGAGGCAGCCAUGUCUUUGUGCUUGGGGAAACAAGAAGGAGGACAUAAGUCCUGAUCAGAAGCCACGUCAAGGCUGCUCUGCUGUGUUGAAGGGAGGGGAGGUAGGGUUACUUCUGACAACACCAAGGUUUUAUUUGUUCAGGAAAAGACCAGAAACAACAGAAGAGUGAUGUCAGGUGAGUAAGCCAAACUUGGCCAGGUGUGUCAUUCACAUAACAUGCAUAUUACACACUUUUGCUUCUGGAGGGAAAAUCCAUUAAUAAAUGCUAAACAAUAGGAUGCUAUCCAGUGUAUUCUGCAUGUUUACACACCAUUGACAUCAUCCAAUUCUCUGAACAAGACCAUCCGUAUUAUGUAUGUAUUAUUCAUGUGGUUAAUAAGCAUGGACAGAGGGCACAUUGUUUACUAGGUUAAGCUCAGGCUACACAAGAAACAUAAAAGGUAGUCCUUAACUUUAAAGCAUUUACAAUUAUAGUCCAGGGUGUGUUUAUAUCUGGCCAUAGGAAGUCUUUAAGGAUGAUGCAAAUUUGUUCAAAGGGAACUCUUCAGAUUAUGGUUAAUGCAGUGGGAGUUCAGACAAGGAUAAAACUGUUAUGAAAUGGAGGAUCUAGAAACAAUGUAGUGUAGAGGGCAAAAUAUAAGCUUUAGUUCUGGACAUGCCUGUGAUCAUAUUCUUACUCACCUAUUAUAAGUUACAUGACACAGUACAUUUCUAGACCUCUGGAGUUCCCAGGUUUAGUAUCUACCAAGUAGAAUUCACAAUA